This 586-nucleotide ribosomal RNA is filed under the name Marinilactibacillus piezotolerans. RNAcentral describes it as "bacterial SSU rRNA". It matches the Rfam family "Bacterial small subunit ribosomal RNA", at positions 61 to 628 of the family's 1533-position model. RNAcentral also lists the same sequence under 1 other name. The record is from RNAcentral. Lineage: Bacteria; Bacillati; Bacillota; Bacilli; Lactobacillales; Carnobacteriaceae.
GUCGAACGAUGAAAUUCUCUGCUUGCAGAGAAUGGAUUAGUGGCGAACGGGUGAGUAACACGUGGGUAACCUGCCCAUAAGAGGGGGAUAACAUUCGGAAACGGAUGCUAAUACCGCAUAUGUCUUUGAGACGCCUGUCUCUUAGAUGAAAGGUGGCUUCGGCUGCCGCUUAUGGAUGGACCCGCGGCGUAUUAGCUAGUUGGUAAGGUAAUGGCUUACCAAGGCUUUGAUACGUAGCCGACCUGAGAGGGUGAUCGGCCACACUGGGACUGAGACACGGCCCAGACUCCUACGGGAGGCAGCAGUAGGGAAUCUUCCACAAUGGGUGAAAACCUGAUGGAGCAAUACCGCGUGAGUGAAGAAGGUCUUCGGAUCGUAAAGCUCUGUUGUUAGAGAAGAAUAAGUCGGGUAGUAACUGCCCCGACCUUGACGGUAUCUAACCAGAAAGUCACGGCUAACUACGUGCCAGCAGCCGCGGUAAUACGUAGGUGACAAGCGUUGUCCGGAUUUAUUGGGCGUAAAGCGAGCGCAGGCGGUCUUUUAAGUCUGAUGUGAAAGCCCACGCCUCAACCGUGGAAGGUCAUUG